This 475-nucleotide ribosomal RNA is filed under the name uncultured bacterium. RNAcentral's name for it is "bacterial SSU rRNA". It matches the Rfam family "Bacterial small subunit ribosomal RNA", at positions 30 to 506 of the family's 1533-position model. The record is from RNAcentral.
UUGAACGCUGGCGGCAUGCUUUACACAUGCAAGUCGAACGGUAACAGGUUAAGCUGACGAGUGGCGAACGGGUGAGUAAUGCAUCGGAACGUGCCCGAUCGUGGGGGAUAACGCAGCGAAAGCUGCGCUAAUACCGCAUAUUCUGUGAGCAGGAAAGCAGGGGAUCGCAAGACCUUGCGCUUUAGGAGCGGCCGAUGUCGGAUUAGCUAGUUGGUGGGGUAAAGGCUCACCAAGGCGACGAUCCGUAGCGGGUCUGAGAGGAUGAUCAGCCACACUGGGACUGAGACACGGCCCAGACUCCUACGGGAGGCAGCAGUGGGGAAUUUUGGACAAUGGGCGCAAGCCUGAUCCAGCCAUGCCGCGUGAGUGAAGAAGGCCUUCGGGUUGUAAAGCUCUUUCAGACGGAAAGAAAUCGGGCGGGUGAAUAGCCUGCCUGGAUGACGGUACUGUCAGAAGAAGCACCGGCUAACUACGU